This is a long non-coding RNA of Gadus macrocephalus (Pacific cod), 2210 nucleotides long. RefSeq lists it as uncharacterized. The record is from RefSeq and is a predicted model, not a curated record. NCBI's taxonomy places the organism in Eukaryota, Metazoa, Chordata, Actinopteri, Gadiformes, Gadidae. The transcript is spliced from 2 exons.
GAGCUGCUGUCUCUCCUGACUCUCCCGGGUUAGUGGCUUGACGUUGGGGGGCCUAUCCGUUUUAUCCCUGUCCCUCCUGCUUCCCAUUGUCCGGCCAACAAAAGCGGGAAUGAUCGAGGGCAGCGUAAAAAAUAAAGGCGGCAGAGAAGGUCUUCCGGCAACCCCGAGAGGUUGCUAGUUUGAUCCCAGGCACCGCGGACCCAAGUGUCCAGGCGUCCCUGGGCAUGACACCUAACCCCGACUGCUCCCGACGAGAUGGCUGCUGCUGUUGACCAGGUGUGUGAUUGGGAAGAGCAAAUUGUGUGGCCUCAGUUCAGAGAAGUUUAAAUGCAGUCUAUACUCAUUUCUUCCCUGCAUCUUUGCUUGAAAGACGCACAUCGGUUCUGGCAAUACCUGACUGCACCGUGGUCAACCCAGAGGGUAGUUAGGGUAGGCAUUCCGUCCGUCCAUCAAACAAUUCAGCCCACACCCCUAUACGGAGCCGUCCUGUCUUGUACUCACCCCGUUAAUAAUAAUAAUGAUACAUUUUAUUUGUAGAGCAAUUUACAUUUGAAAAUCUCAAAGUGCUAGUUUAAGAGAGAGAAAAGGGUUGUUAAAACAUAUACGUAUACAGUAAAAGAGAAAGUAGCAAAAGGCUUUAAAAAAAAAUAAAUAAAAAAGUCUUAAGGUUGUAUUCUGUGGGGCCUUCAGUACAGUACAGUACUUCAGUACAGGUUGUCAGGGAGGGCGUUCCAUAGUCUGACCAGACCGUUCUGGUCUGGUAGAAGGAACUGAUUUGGUUCCAUUGGUGGCUUCAGAAGAUGUCAUCUAGCUACCCCUCCGCCACAGGGCUUUGUAUGAACAAAAACAGGUUUCACAUCUUUCCACUAAAACUGAUAAAUAGGGGAGCACUUUCAACUAUAGGUGGAUGGAAAAGGGGUCUGUGGACUUGUAUGUCAAUGACCUAGAGCCGCAGUCUGCUCAAAUACUGGAUCCACUUUUUUAUUUUGCCCGUAAUAGAAACCGGCCAUUGCAUUUGCUUUGUCGUUACUAAUUGCUUAUGUUGUUGAAAGGCGUGGCAAUGAUUAGGAAUGCUUUUAGCUGCUUUGUGUUUAACAAUGGAUGAAUCCGAUGAUUACAUUGGUGAAUCUAAAUGUACAGAGCUGGGGAAAUUGAAACAAUUAACAGACAAAAUAUCAAAUGAGUUAGAAUACAGUUUGAAUUAAAAAUCGAAUGGGAUAGUAUGAUUCUACUACGUUUCGUUACAUCAAAACAAAAGCGUCCAUUUAGGAUGCAGUGCCUUACAUUAUGUUCAUUCAAAAAAGUAAUUCAAGUGCAAACAACUUCAAAACAUCAGCAAAGCAACUGCUUUUAAGUGCUACGAUAUAAAAAGAGAUUGAAGAAAAUUAGAAAGCAAAUCAUUUGAUUAAAUUAAAUACUAUAAGGCAGUACUUUUGGAAUCAUUUCGCCACAAUUCAUGUCAACAUUAAUUGUACACUAUUUAAUGCAUUCUUAGAUCCUAAUAUUGUUUCCUCAUCAAUGUAGACUUCACACAGUUUGAGGUAUUUCUAAAACAAGGUCAAGAACUGAAUUACUGAAAAAAAACAACCAUCACAAUCAAUAUAACCUAGAUUUUAUUUUGCAACCCCUUGUAAUAUUCAUGAACUUCAUGAGGUUUGUCCCUUUUGAUUCAGGCCACAUGAAGCAACCACAAACACGCUAUUUCCGCCACAAGAACAGCUAUCAUAGUAUUCAAUGUUAUGUUUCUAUGCAUCCAAAGGAUAAUAAAUACGCUGUAUUUGCAUUCAUUUAUUACAUUAUAAGGCAAACCAGGAAUGGGAAUAAAGCUUUUCAAAUAAAACGUCUUCUCUCCACCUUUAAAGAUAUAAGUAUUUCUCAGUAUUUAUAACAUUACUUGACAUUCUACAAAGUUUUAAAAACACACGCAAUCCAUCGGCAUUGACAAAUAUUAAAUAUUCCAAUUCGAAAGCAAUCUGUCUGAUUCUAACUUACUUGGCAAUACACAGUAAGGUAUUACAAAUAUCUAAGUACAACCCCGUGAAUGUGGGGAUUCUACAUGCAGUUAUUAUUUCGUCCACAUCAAACCCUUAUUAGACUAGAGAUCAGGUCUCUGUUAUUUUCAUACAGGAAAAGGAAUGCAGUAAAAUGGCACAAAGGUUGAGAGAUUCAAAUUAGGCAGCAGCAUGAGCAGGAACAUCAAUUGGGGAAAA